GUUUGGUUAAGUUAGAAAGGGCGCACGGUGGAUGCCUUGACACUAGGAGUCGAUGAAGGACGGGACUAACGCCGAUAUGCUUCGGGGAGCUGUAAGUAAGCUUUGAUCCGAAGAUUUCCGAAUGGGGAAACCCACUAUACGUAAUGGUAUGGUAUCCUUACCUGAAUACAUAGGGUAUGGAAGACAGACCCAGGGAACUGAAACAUCUAAGUACCUGGAGGAAGAGAAAGCAAAUGCGAUUUCCUGAGUAGCGGCGAGCGAAACGGAAUCUAGCCCAAACCAAGAGGCUUGCCUCUUGGGGUUGUAGGACAUUCUAUACGGAGUUACAAAGGAACGAGGUAGACGAAGCGACCUGGAAAGGUCCGUCACAGAGGGUAAUAACCCCGUAGUCGAAACUUCGUUCUCUCUUGAAUGUAUCCUGAGUACGGCGGAACACGUGAAAUUCCGUCGGAAUCUGGGAGGACCAUCUCCCAAGGCUAAAUACUCCCUAGUGAUCGAUAGUGAAC
Molecule: ribosomal RNA, 506 nt
Filed under: Bacillus mycoides
Lineage: Bacteria; Bacillati; Bacillota; Bacilli; Caryophanales; Bacillaceae
Description: bacterial LSU rRNA
Rfam family: Bacterial large subunit ribosomal RNA
Source: RNAcentral